This is a long non-coding RNA of Alosa sapidissima (American shad), 199 nucleotides long. RefSeq lists it as uncharacterized. The record is from RefSeq and is a predicted model, not a curated record. Lineage: Eukaryota; Metazoa; Chordata; Actinopteri; Clupeiformes; Clupeidae. The transcript is spliced from 3 exons.
UUAAUCCAUAACAGGCAGUCCUCAGUGACCCUCAUCACUCUGACAACACACACAGUCUCUGUGCAUCCUACCAGUCUGAUAUCACCUGUCUACUCUUCAGCUUAAGAUGAGUGGGACUGACACACUCCCAGCAGGCAGCCAACUGGUACCAGGACAAUAUCUGAUAUCGGUGAACAAACUAUACAAAGCAACAUUUGAG